GUCUAUUGAUGAAUGGACACCACUAACUUAGUUCAUCCUUCCCACCUUAUAGGUGGAAGAAUGGGUGUGAGCAGUUCAUCAUAUGGAAACUGGGUUCUGAAUGUAAUACAGAGAGGUCACAAACUGACCAUCCCAAGGACACAAUUACCUCGCUUUUUCUGGUCCUAUCCGUGAGGCUUGACAAGUAGAGGCACGUAUCCAUCACCACAGUCAAGACAGAACAUUUCCACCACCCCCAGGAAGUCCCUCAUGCUACCUGCUCUUGUCAGACCCUCAACCCUUGGCAACCAUGAUCUGUUUUCCAUACCUUCUAGUUUUGCCUUUUCCAGAACGUCAUAUAAUGUGUGUUUUUCACAUGCUUAUUUGCCAUUUGUAUGCCUUUUUUGGUAACUUGUAUUUUAACACCAUUUGACUAAGCUGCCAAUAUUUAAAUAUUAGGAGAGUUCAAAUAAAAGUCUGACUGAGCUUGGCUAUUUGGAAGAUAAGGCGACAUUGGAUCCACAGUCCCACGUGACGAAGAUGGCUCCAGCUCUGUGUGUGGUUCAAUUACGUCUGGGCCUUUGACUCAGCCUUCUUAUUCGCUCCUCAUGUUAAUUCUACUUAGGAGAAUAGUUCUUCAGUAUGUGUCAGCGUGUCUAAUCUUACAACAAGGGUAGGUGGAGAUGGGCUGUCUCUGUCUUUACCAUCUUCUAUAGCAACACUUUAAGUUACUGUUCUAGAACAAUGGAUUGAACAGAGGGAUACAAAUUCUUCAGGAUCACUGUUUUUCCUGACAUGAAAACUGAACAUGGAAAUAGGCCCUACCUGAGCUAACCAGGCUACUGAGAUCCUUCCUCUUGGAGUGCUUGUGCCAGCCGGUACCCACUGUUGCUGCUCCGGGUUCUGGUGUGACUGCAGUGAAACUACAUGCAAUUAGGCGACUGGCUGAACAGGCCAUUAAAGAAGUGGAAACAUAUGCAUUCAUGUUCAAAGAAAGAAAACAUCAGUAAAAGUGCUGGACUCCCCUCCUAUCCACUUCUGCACUCAAUCUGCCGACACAUGUUGUUCUGGUUGAAGUAUAUGAAGAAAAUCUGGCUUCACACAUAUAUAGAUGGAAAGUUUUUUUUUAAAAAUGGGCUUUUCAGGUAAUUGUGGAUAUUUCUUGAUAUGACACCAAAACUCAACAAGUGGUAGUUUCUUAAAGGUUAGUUUCAAGGUAGAAUCUGAAAUCACAGCAAGGAAUUUUUUAUACUCUGUUAUAUUAAAAUCCUUUGGUGUAAGCAAUCUCUGUACUGUUUUCCAUAGCAGCUGUACCAAUUUACAUUCCCACCAAGAGUGCACCAAGGGUUCUCUUUUCUCCACAUCUUGUCUUUUUGA
Kogia breviceps (pygmy sperm whale) is the source of this 1356-nucleotide non-coding RNA. The record is from RefSeq and is a predicted model, not a curated record. Lineage: Eukaryota; Metazoa; Chordata; Mammalia; Artiodactyla; Physeteridae.